GCCUGGGUGGCUCAGUCGGUUAAGCGUCUGACUUCAGCUCAGGUCAUGAUCUCACAGUCCGUGAGUUCGAUCCCCGUGUCAGGCU
Molecule: non-coding RNA, 85 nt
Organism: Felis catus (domestic cat)
Lineage: Eukaryota; Metazoa; Chordata; Mammalia; Carnivora; Felidae
Source: Rfam